AAACUCAAAGGAAUUGACGGGGAGCACCACAACGGGUGGAGCUUGCGGUUUAAUUGGAUUCAACGCCGGAAAUCUUACCGGGACCGACAGCAAUAUGAAGGCCAGGCUGAAGACUUUGCCGGAUUAGCUGAGAGGUGGUGCAUGGCCGUCGUCAGUUCGUACUGUGAAGCAUCCUGUUAAGUCAGGCAACGAGCGAGACCCACGCCCACAGUUGCCAGCGUACUCUCUGGAGUGACGGGUACACUGUGGGGACCGCCGCUGCUAAAGCGGAGGAAGGAAUGGGCAACGGUAGGUCAGUACGCCCCGAAUAUCCCGGGCUACACGCGAGCUACAAUGGUUGGUACAAUGGGUAUCUACCCCGAAAGGGGACGGGAAUCUCCUAAAACCAAUCUUAGUUCGGAUUGAGGGCUGCAACUCGCCCUCAUGAAGCUGGAAUCCGUAGUAAUCGCGUUUCAACAGAACGCGGUGAAUACGUCCCUGCUCCUU
RNAcentral lists this ribosomal RNA (486 nucleotides) under uncultured Methanosaeta sp. RNAcentral describes it as "bacterial SSU rRNA". It matches the Rfam family "Archaeal small subunit ribosomal RNA", at positions 852 to 1338 of the family's 1478-position model. The record is from RNAcentral. Lineage: Archaea; Methanobacteriati; Methanobacteriota; Methanomicrobia; Methanotrichales; Methanotrichaceae.